Molecule: ribosomal RNA, 497 nt
Filed under: uncultured bacterium
Lineage: Bacteria
Description: partial 16S ribosomal RNA
Rfam family: Bacterial small subunit ribosomal RNA
Source: RNAcentral
ACUCAAAUGAAUUGACGGGGGCCCGCACAAGCGGUGGAGCAUGUGGUUUAAUUCGACGCUACACGAAGAACCUUACCUAUUCUUGAAUCCCUGGAAGUUAGCAGAAAUGCUGAUGUGCCGCAAGGAACCAGGAGACAGGUGCUGCAUGGCUGUCGUCAGCUCGUGUUGUGAGAUGUUGGGUUAAGUCCCGUAACGAGCGCAACCCUUGUCCUUAAUUGCCAGCGAGUAAUGUCGGGAACUUUAAGGAGACUGCCGGUGACAAACCGGAGGAAGGAGAGGAUGAUGUCAAGUCAUCAUGGCCCUCACGAAUAGGGCUACACACAUUCUACAAUGGUAAGUACAAAAGGAAGCAAUGUCGCGAGACUGAGCAAAUCCCAAAAGCUUAUCGUAGUCCGGAUUGGAGUCUGCAACUCGACUCCAUGAAGCUGGAAUCGCUAGUAAUCGCAGAUCAGCACGCUGCGGUGAAUACGUUCUCGGGCCUUGUACACACCGCCCGU